GUAUGAACCCCACCAUCGCCACCGUCCGCAACGGGCCGGUGGCGGUCUGGAUCGCGACCUCAGGUCAGGCGGGGCCACCCGCUGAGUUUAAGCAUAUCAAUAAGCGGAGGAGAAGAAACUUACGAGGAUUCCCCUAGUAACGGCGAGCGAAACGGGAAGAGCCCAGCUUGAGAAUCGGGCAGCCCCGCUGCUCGAAUUGUAGUCUGUAGAAGCGUCCUCAGUGACGGACCGGGCCCAAGUCCCCUGGAACGGGGCGCCGGAGAGGGUGAGAGCCCCGUCGUGCCCGGACCCUGCCGCACCACGA
This 304-nucleotide ribosomal RNA is filed under the name Acorus calamus var. angustatus. RNAcentral's name for it is "partial 28S ribosomal RNA". The stretch from base 55 to 304 matches the Rfam family "Eukaryotic large subunit ribosomal RNA", at positions 1 to 249 of the family's 3401-position model. The record is from RNAcentral. Lineage: Eukaryota; Viridiplantae; Streptophyta; Magnoliopsida; Acorales; Acoraceae.